Molecule: long non-coding RNA, 359 nt
Organism: Physella acuta
Lineage: Eukaryota; Metazoa; Mollusca; Gastropoda; Physidae
Source: RefSeq, a predicted model, not a curated record
GAAAACCAUGAAAAUCAGAACUUGAUUGUGGAAAAAGUUGGCCUUUCCCAGGACAGAGAUGGGGUACUAGACAUAGACGAGUAUGAGCUCCCUGGGGACAAGGAUGAACUCUGUCAGCUGAAAAAUACAAUGGUGAUGGAGCUGAUGUGGGUACAACAAGCCAUCAACAGCCGCAAACAUUAUCUACGGAUGAAGCAUGAGUUGAUGUAGACAACUUGUUGUGACCCAGAUGAAUGUGAAAUGGCAAGAGCUCACAAGUUAUCAAAAUUAUCUAUUUUUGUACAUUUGUAUAAAUAAUUAUUAAUAAAAUUUUAUGUACAUAAUUAAUACUAAUAAAUUGAUUUAAUGUUUGUGAUAAU